RNAcentral lists this unclassified non-coding RNA (158 nucleotides) under uncultured Phialophora. Its description in RNAcentral is "sequence contains ITS1". The record is from RNAcentral. Lineage: Eukaryota; Fungi; Ascomycota; Leotiomycetes.
CCGAGUUCAUGCCCUUCGGGGUAGAUCUCCCACCCUUUGUAUACUAUACCUUUGUUGCUUUGGCGGGCCGCCUAGCUACUGGCUUCGGCUGGUAAGUGCCCGCCAGAGAACCCAACUCUUGUAUUUAGUGAUGUCUGAUUUACAAAAAAAACAAGUUA